GGACGCUAUCUUUUCCUCUCCGAACACCUAUCUCCGCUACUGCAAACACAGAGGAAGACGAUGGUCAGACUUCAUUGCUGCACAAUACAGGAGCUUCUUGAAGGAGAUGUUAAUGCUUUGAUUGAUGUUGAAUUGAGUUCUCCCAUUGAUGUUGAAUCAAUUUCAGGUUAUUAGUAAAUUAUUCAAGCAGAGAUUUAGGGAUUAUUACUCGUUUCUCUAAAGCCUUAGCACAUUCGGGACGAGAAAGUGAAGGUUCUUCAGUCGGUGGUUCCAAUUAAAGAUGAAGAGGUUGUGAUUGGACAAUAAGAAGGUUAUAGGGAUGAUCU
Long non-coding RNA from Ipomoea nil (Japanese morning glory), 326 nucleotides. RefSeq lists it as uncharacterized. The record is from RefSeq and is a predicted model, not a curated record. Lineage: Eukaryota; Viridiplantae; Streptophyta; Magnoliopsida; Solanales; Convolvulaceae. The transcript is spliced from 4 exons.